GCAUAUCAAUAAGCGGAAGGAAAAAGAAACCAACAGGGAUUGCCUCAGUAACGGCGAGUGAAGCGGCAACAGCUCAAAUUUGAAAUCUGGCCCUAGCGGUCCGAAUUGUAAUUUGUAGAGGAUGCUUUUGGUGCGGUGCCUUCCGAGUUCCCCUGGAACGGGACGCCAGAGAGGGUGAGAGCCCCGUACGGUUGGACACCUACCCUAUAUAUAGCUCCUUCGACGAGUCGAGUAGUUUGGGAAUGCUGCUCUAAAUGGGAGGUAAAUUUCUUCUAAAGCUAAAUACCGGCCAGAGACCGAUAGCGCACAAGUAGAGUGAUCGAAAGAUGAAAAGCACUUUGAAAAGAGGGUUAAAUAGCACGUGAAAUUGUUGAAAGGGAAGCGUUUACGACCAGACCUCUUCCAGGCGGAUCAUCCGGUGUUCUCACCGGUGCACUUCGUCUGGUUUAGGCCAGCAUCGGUUUUCGUAGGGGGAUAAAGACCUGGGGAACGUAUCUCCUUCGGGAGUGUUAUAGCCCCUCGUGUAAUACCUCUACGGGGACCGAGGACCGCGCACUGCAAGGAUGCUGGCGUAAUGGUCGUCAACGACCCGUCUUGAAACACGGACCAAGGAGUCGAACAUUUGUGCGAGUGUUUGGGUAUUAAACCCUCACGCGUAAUGAAAGUGAACGGAGGUGAGAGCCCUUCGGGGUGCAUCAUCGACCGAUCCUGAUGUCUUCGGAUGGAUUUGAGUAAGAGCAUAACUGUUCGGACCCGAAAGAUGGUGAACUAUGCGUGGAUAGGGUGAAGCCAGAGGAAACUCUGGUGGAGGCUCGCAGCGGUUCUGACGUGCAAAUCGAUCGUCAAAUCUGCGCAUGGGGGGCGAAAGUAUGUAUUAUCCCGGGGUGUAUACCCUAUAAUUCUCCCCUGGAGACAAUAAACAGUAUGCUAACAACAACUUCUUUAGGAACUUAUCGAAACCAUCUAGUAGGCUGGGUUAACGCGAGU
RNAcentral lists this ribosomal RNA (987 nucleotides) under Hypoxylon rubiginosum. RNAcentral describes it as "LSU rRNA". It matches the Rfam family "Eukaryotic large subunit ribosomal RNA", at positions 38 to 966 of the family's 3401-position model. Lineage: Eukaryota; Fungi; Ascomycota; Sordariomycetes; Xylariales; Hypoxylaceae. The record is from RNAcentral.